GAGAUACGAGGGACCCGGGUCUUAGAGGGGCCUGACGGUGGGGAGCACUUCCGAGAACCCUGUCGCUGAUCUGAGCCGUUCCCUUUCUACGGAGACGUCCGUGGAAGAGAAAUUUCGAAAAAAGGUUCCGGCCGGAACACAAAAAAGUCUAAGGCAGAAAACCGCCGGGACUCUGAAAGAUGGGUUCGGGGCGAUCUAAGUCUCCACCACCAGACUGCAGCAUUACAAAAUUAAUGAGACGUAAAUAUGGUGAUGAGUGCGUGUCAUGUCUUCACGACUGGACAAAACAUUAUGGGUUUCAAGAAGGUGGAUCACUCAGUGUGAAGGACAUACGCGCUUUAAAAGAAAAAUUAGAAGAAAAGGAGAAACAGCUCCGCAAAAGUAGAACGAUCAAAGUUAAAACCUUAGAGGAAAUUGAAUUAAACAAAAGAUGCCUUGAAAUUUGGGUUAAAGAAUCAGAACGCAGGGAAAGAUUAAAAUGCCAAAAAGAACUAGGAGGGAGAAAGGACAAGAGUGGUGACGUAGCUGGCAGAAAAGAUAACAACUCUGUGGAAGCUUGCACACCGCCACCAUACACACAUACACCACACACACACAUAUCAUGUCAAGAUCAAAUGCUCCCAUUGUUUCUGCUCUCUAUUCUAAUGCAGAACUGAGCGUAAUGAGGGUAAAUCCGGAUCUGGACUCCUUUCCCACCGUCAGCAGAAGAACCGAAGGAGAAGAAGCGCCAACCAACAACCAGAACAGGGUGGAAGCUCUGAUACCACAGCAGCUGGAGGACACAGACCACAGCAUGGACGCCUCACUGACCCCACAACGUCUGCAGCCAUCACGUUCUGGGCUCAUCAGAUGAACCAGCUACUACAAGCGUGUGUGUCUGACACAGACACCUGCUUAUGACAAUCAGCAAAGGAAAACAAGGACAGAGCAACAGCAGAGAAGACGUGCUCUGACACAGACACUGGUUUAAACAACAGGAGAGGCUUCAGACGUGAUCGGCCCAAAAGAGCUGCAUCUGAGGAUCCAGGAAACGUCUGUCAUCGAGGAACAACUGUCCCAUCUACGUCAGGCUUCACCCACUGGCGCUCACAUCAGACUGAUGGUUGGGGAAGGAGGAAGGUGACGGUUCCUUUUCACGUGACGUACAAGACGGUACCGCAAACACACACACACACACACACACACACACACACACACACACAUUCAUACACGCAAUGAAGAAACACGCUUACAGCUGAUACACGCUCAAAUUCAUGUUCAUGCUUAUCUGCUCGCAAUGAAGAAUCGCUUUUUGCUCAAAAAAAAAAAAAAAAAAAACCCACAGAGUGAUUUUACAAUGAUGACAAACAGCUAAAUGACAACUGCUGCAUGACUUUACAGUCUGAUGGGUUCAAACUAUUUUAACUUGCAACAAAUUCAGUAAUAAAAUCCUUCAUGUUUCUAAAAAUACUUGUGCACAAUAUAGGUUUGUCUGGCCAGACGGUAGAAAAACAAAACAGACUGUAGAAAAAACAAAACAGACUAUAGGAAGACUGAGACUGACUGAAACAGACUAUUAAUGACUAUUAAAGGGAAGACGACUAUUAGAGAGAAGUAAUAAUAAUUACUGUACGUACCAGACUAUUAAAGAAAACUUAUUUUUUCACUGUCUUGUGCAACAUCUGCAGCAAGACACCUUAACAUUCAUUUUUGCUUUCAAACUUGUGCCCAGUUAAAUUUUUAGGAAGAGAUCUCAUGUAGUUUAGGUAUUUGAUUGAUUUCCACUCCAGACGGAGUGCAGGUCACGUCUACAGACAUUCUAAAUAAUCCCUCUUUUGUUGGUGUUAACUUCAGCUCAGCUGUGCUCUUAUCAUUGGCUGCUGAGGGGGGGCUGUAACUGAGGCCCUCACACAGGCUGCAUCACAGCUUGUUUAUGAUUUCACACACACACACUCAAACUGACCUCAACUUCCCUCUUUUGGGAUGAACACAGGUCUGCGCUUGCGAUUUCUUUUCCUAACGAACAAAAAGAUUCUUGAUUUUUAUUCUACAGUUCCACACGUCCCUCUGUGAAAACAUGAUGGAGACAGAUGCAGGAUGUGGGUCCUUUCGUGAACAGAUGUCAACGGGGUGGAGACUGGUGAACGACCUCUGACCCCAUGUGAUGUAUUCACCUACUUUGCAUACUUUAGAAAACUUUUUUUUAUUCUGCCCGUCAUGUGCAGCAAACAGUGACCUGGGUACCUCCACAUUCUAAUGACACACUACAUGUUUUUAUUUUCAUUUUUCAGAGGACGCUCUGACCCAACACUCAGCCUUACAGGAAGCCCUGCUUCCCUGUGGCUCACACACAGACAUGAUGUAGGUUUGAUCAGAGGAUGUGAACCAGUGGUCAUCACACCUAAAUCUGACCACAGACCAUGUAAACAACAACACCCUCUUAAAGGAGCCAAAGAUGGUGUUACUGCAGACACCACUAAGCUACUGAAACAUUGGAUGCUACAGGCCACAAAGAGAGCCUGUCUAAAUUACAGUUUGUUCAGACAAAGGUUAUUUUUCUGGGUCAUUGUAAUUACAGCUGAUGGCAAAUCCAUCUCACCCAACAGAGUUAAAGCAAUUUGAAACCUGCCUAAACCGUGCACGUAAAAACAGCUGAUGUCUUUUCUAGGUCUUUGUUCUUAUUGUAGGAACUUCAUUCCUAACUUUACCUUCUCUGAGGCCCCACUCAGGGUUCUGAUGCAGACAUCUUCAUCGUCCACUUCUUGUCUCACGUGUACGUCUGAGGCUGAACAACGUUCACCGACCUCAAGCUUGCUCUUCAGUCGGCUCCUACUUUGGGUCUUCCUGAUCUGACCCUACGCGACCUUUCACUCAAACAGUGGAUGAGAGAUCAGGUUGUACGACUUCUGUUCUUUUGUCCUCAUACUGUGUCUUUGAUUCUUUUGGAAUAGAUCCCACGUUCUACAGCCUGAUGGCUUAGAUGCAACACCACCUUGCUCAACAUGCUGAACAUUACUGUCAAGAUGCCGUCUUAAAGUCUGGCGUCUUAAAGACACUGCUCUGCUCAGGCUGCAGAGUUGAUCGCGUUGACUGAAGCUGGUAAACUAGCAGAAGGAGAGUCUGUUACCAUCUACAGACUCCACAGAUGCUUGUGACACUUUGGUUCUCUGUGGAAGCAUAGGAAGCUUUUGAAGUCUGAUUGCAAACCUAUCUUACAUCAUGAUAAGGUUCUGCUUUGCUGGAUGCUGUCCUGCUGCCUACAGCUAAUGCUGUUUGUAACUGUCCAACAUCAGUGACGACUUUGUUUCUGCCGACAUGCAGCUGCAGACGCUGCUGCGAAGGUCGCUGCCCAACAACCCCUCCCUCUCCUGAUCCUCAUUUCUCUCUCCAACUCUCUCUAUCCUUUCCAACUUUCUCUCCCUGUGCUUUAAACAUUUUGUACCUCACAGGAACCAGACUCUGGCUGACGAAUGGUUCCACCUGUAGCCAUGGAGUCUGGUUUGGGCCUGAUGGCAGCCGUGCCGCCCAAACACUUUUUCCCCACAAUUCAGAUUUCCCAACAGGUGAAAACAGGCGACAGGACCACAACACCAUCCAACCAGGGCACGGGCGAUCGUUAAGGAGUUCAGGAGGAAGCACUGGACCUCCAAACGAUGGCGAGGCCCCUUCCAGGUCCUUCUGACGACCCACACGGCUGUGAAGAUCACAGAAAGAGUGACUUGGAUCCACUCCAUCCAGGAAGGUCCCGGAUCCGACAGACGACCCUCCAUCUACACCACACGAGAAAACCACCACUGACGAAAAGAAUUAAGAAGGACGACCCUCGCUGUGCUCACACACGCACUGAGGCGAGGCUGCGUUGACCGUUCAGCUAAAGGUGUGAGCCAAGCGCCGCCUGAAGCUGCGCCGGUGAAUCACACUAUCAGACCAACAUCUACACACACGCUCCUGAGAAAACACACACACGAGCAGCCUUGAGUUGCCAACGCUGGACGACGUGUAGACUCUUCACAUCACGGGAGUGACAGUGACUCAGACGACAUUGGGAGGAAACCUGGCGGUGAUAAUGAAUCCCAAGUGUCUCUGUGAUCAGCUGAUCACAACCUGAAGAACUCCAACGAACUGGCAAUACAUCAACACACAGGUUGGAAACAAUCUAACGCUACUGUUCAACAGGAAGAAGCAGAUUGUUACGAGACAUCAAUUGUAACCAUGUUGUGUUAGACCUUAUUUUGUUACUCUGAUUAUUGACUUGGUGUUUAAUUUGCUCACAAUCACUUUAUUCACUGCUACAAUUAGUUUUUAUCUAUCUAUUAAGACAACACGAGCGGAAAUAUGCAUCAUCAUUCUGGUUAAAUCCCUGAAUCUCCUAUUCGCUCUAGACCCAAAUGUACAAUUAAAGAUCCGAAAGUAUGAAAUCUAUCUUAAGAUUAUAUGAAACAGAACCCCACCGGAAACCUAUGGCUAUCAUACAUUAAUUGUCUUUAUUACAUUACAAUUGAAUGGCCGUAGACACGUUGUUAGCAGAGAAAAAAGGCGGUUGUGUUAUGUUUGGAGAGGCAUGUUGUACUUACAUCCUGAAUAACACUGAUUCUAAUGGUAUUGUGGCGAAGGCGCUACACGGCCUUCAGAAUCUCAGCUAACUCUGGUAUAGGUUCUUUCCCUUGGAAUUGGCUAGAUGAAAUGUCUGGAAAAUUGAAAUCUGUUCUCAUGUCCACAGCUGUUUCCUUUAUCAUUGAGAUGGCUGUGAUUCUCUUGUUUGGUUUUUGCGUUAUCCCACUGGUUAGAGGUCUCAUCAUGCGUGCGACUUCAGCAACACUCGUAUGAGAUGACACAAUGCACUAUGUUCAAAAACCCCAACUCUAAUUUACUUAAUGACUUUGACGAUGGUCUUAGGCUAUCUGACCACAAAAUAUAAUAUGAUACAAAUAUGAUAAUGAGCUUAUUUUCUUCGCAUGCCAAUACAGAGGUUAUUCUUGUAUAACUAUCCACCAAAAACAGCUCCCAACCUUUUGUCCCUAAGUUACUUGCAUUUUAUGUGAAGGUGUAUUUUGAAUCUUGAUGAGUUAAUACCCUUAUUGUUUCAUUUGCAAGGAUCUUUUAUUAUUACAGAAUAUGAUGUUGACAAUUUUUAUUCCUUUAUGGUUUGAUUAAUGUGUAAUCAAAAGGGGGGAGUGUUAUGGGAAAAAUUGUCUCUUCCUUAUUUUUAUGUGUCUUCCUUAUUUCUAUGCAUUUCUAUGCAGUUAUUAUAUUAUUUAUGACUUAUGUUCUGCAAUUAAUAUCUUGUGUUUUGUCUUACUGUAUGCAUUUGACAUUUCACCUACAUUGUUCAAUGGUUGUCUCUGCCAGAAAGACUCUCAACUCUAGCUCCCAAACCCAAGGUCGGGGAGUUGUGUCUCUGUCUGUUGAGACUAGGUGCUCCUUUCUCACAGAUAGUUGGAUGUCAGCAAUGCAGGUGUGAGAAAGUAAAAAUCUUCACACGCACUGCGACAGGGAGAAGAUGGUGCAUGUAAUUUGAUUGGGUUGGAAAGACAUUCCACCCUAGUCGGACAGAGAAGCUAAAAGGCAGAAGCAACUUUAGGAUCGUGGGCUCUAUGCAACACACCUUCGUGGUGUGUGCAAUGAUCUCCCCAGCUGGUUUUUGGUUUGUUGAUGUGCACGAUCAACAUCCAUGCUUUUUAUUUGCUUUCCCCAUUAUUUUUAUUUUCUUUAUUAUUUCAAUAAAUUGCACAAAAGGACAA
Betta splendens (Siamese fighting fish) is the source of this 5720-nucleotide long non-coding RNA. RefSeq lists it as uncharacterized. NCBI's taxonomy places the organism in Eukaryota, Metazoa, Chordata, Actinopteri, Anabantiformes, Osphronemidae. The transcript has 2 exons. The record is from RefSeq and is a predicted model, not a curated record.